CCCUUAGAUGUUCUGGGCCGCACGCGCGCUACACUGACGAAGUCAGCGAGCAUGUCCUAUGCCGACAGGUGCGGGGAAUCUUGUCAAACUUCGUCGUGAUGGGGAUUGAUUAUUGAAAUUCUUGAUCAUCAACGAGGAAUUCCUAGUAAGCGCAAGUCAGCAGCUUGCGUUGAUUACGUCCCUGCCCUUUGUACACACCGCCCGUCGCACCUACCGAUUGGAUGGUCCGGUGAAGCCUCGGGAUUGUGGUUCUUGCCGCUUUAUUGUGGCGUGACCGCGAGAACUUGUCUAAACCUUAUCAUCUAGAGGAAGGUGAAGUCGUAACA
RNAcentral lists this ribosomal RNA (326 nucleotides) under uncultured eukaryote. RNAcentral's name for it is "partial 18S ribosomal RNA". It matches the Rfam family "Eukaryotic small subunit ribosomal RNA", at positions 1470 to 1796 of the family's 1831-position model. The record is from RNAcentral.